Manis pentadactyla (Chinese pangolin) is the source of this 654-nucleotide long non-coding RNA. RefSeq lists it as uncharacterized. NCBI's taxonomy places the organism in Eukaryota, Metazoa, Chordata, Mammalia, Pholidota, Manidae. The record is from RefSeq and is a predicted model, not a curated record. The transcript is spliced from 3 exons.
AGAGGUGGGCGUUGCCUCCGCCCUCCAACCCCGGCUGUGGGCGGCGCCGUGUCCGGCACCGCUUCGGGCUGAGGGACUCCAGGACAGGGAUAGGGGACCACGGAGGUGGUUCCUGGGCUACAGGGCCCACGACAGCUGGCUGAGCCCCGCGCUGGACACCCGGACUGCGGGUAGAGCCGAAGACACCUGGCCGGGCCUGGCGAGAGCCCACAAGAUAGAGAAGGAGGAAUGGCAUGCUCCACCGUUCACUUACUCAAAAAAACCCAUGUUACCCGGCACUUCCUAUGCACCAGGUACAGAGUUAGACACUGAAGAAAAUGAGUCAAGAAAUGAUGCCCUCCCCAAGAUGCUCUAACAAAGCGUGGGCGAGGGCAAGGCGCUGGGGGUACAGCCUCAAAUUUCUGCCCUGGAAAGGGCUUCUGGUGGAAAUGGCCCCUGAGUUGGGUAUUGGAAGAUAAAUGAGAGGGAGUCAGCUCGGUGAAGAAGGGAAUUUGAACAUUCCCUGCAAAUGGAGCAUCCCAGGCAAGGGCCUGGAGGUCAGAAUGUGAAUGGUCAGCCUGCAGAACAGGAAACUGGCCCAGCGUCUGUAACAAAAGAAGCCCCAGAACUGGACCACAGCAGCCACUAGGUGGAUGGAGAAGCCCAUGAGCCAAG